CCUAAUUUGUGUUGUAUGGCCUGAUAGUUGUUUACAGAAUAAUCUUAGAACUGUGCAGUUUAGAAAUCACUGGAACAAUUACAGAAUGAUUGGAACUUUCCAGAAUGAUCCUAAUAAAAGAUGCGUUAUAUAAACUUCUACAUUUUACUAGAACAAACUUCCAUUGUAACUUUCUAGGAUGUUCCAGUAUAGAUUGUUCUAGAAUUUUCCUUGACAAUUAUAU
This 223-nucleotide long non-coding RNA is filed under the name Mytilus galloprovincialis (Mediterranean mussel). Lineage: Eukaryota; Metazoa; Mollusca; Bivalvia; Mytilida; Mytilidae. The record is from RNAcentral.